GCCGCAAUAGCUCAGCUGGUAGAGCACGUCAUUCGUAAUGACGGGGUCGGGGGUUCGAGCCCCUCUUGCGGCACCA
RNAcentral lists this transfer RNA (76 nucleotides) under Bradyrhizobium sp. RNAcentral's name for it is "tRNA-Thr". It matches the Rfam family "tRNA". Rfam says of the family: Transfer RNA (tRNA) molecules are approximately 80 nucleotides in length. Their secondary structure includes four short double-helical elements and three loops (D, anti-codon, and T loops). RNAcentral also lists the same sequence under 6 other names. The record is from RNAcentral. Lineage: Bacteria; Pseudomonadati; Pseudomonadota; Alphaproteobacteria; Hyphomicrobiales; Nitrobacteraceae.